This is a long non-coding RNA of Gallus gallus (chicken), 1008 nucleotides long. RefSeq lists it as uncharacterized. The transcript is spliced from 3 exons. NCBI's taxonomy places the organism in Eukaryota, Metazoa, Chordata, Aves, Galliformes, Phasianidae. The record is from RefSeq and is a predicted model, not a curated record.
UCCUUAGACCUCCUGGACUACAGCUCUGCUCUGUGCAACUGAUUACUCUAUUGACAAAAUCAUAAAACGGAAAAGCUGAAGAAAUACAUAUAACACCAAAAUCUUGUCCCUAGCUCCAAGAAACAGAUGCAUGACGCAAAGCUAUAUAAAUAUCAUCUCAGUCUCACAGGACCAUUUAUUCUUGUUUCUUGAGUAUAUCUUAGCUCUUGAAAGAAAAAUUACAGCUGAUAGAAUUGAUACGUGCGAAGGAAGAGAAGAAAUAGAUAAGGUGACCUCAUGAAUUGUGUGCUAAAGAAGUUUGUGCCUACAAAUGAAGGAAAUUUCAUUCACACUUGAUUAAUUGGAAUCUGGAGAGCAAGGGCACUGAUGAGGAGAAAAGAUGAAGAUCAAAUUCCUGUGGAAAUAAAAUCCUAAAAACUGGGCUAUCAAUCCAACAGGACAGAUUCCUUAUACAAUAGGUGCCUCUUAAAUUAGGUGCUGUAAAUUAACCAGCUCAACUAAACGUAAGCAGGAUCUUAUCACUGUAAUGCACAAUAACGUCUACAUUAUUAAAAUUCCACUAAAGAAAACUUAGUGUGAGAUAAUGCAGACAUGAAUGAUCAUUUAACAUUAAUCCUGAUGACAGCCAUUUCCACAUUGCUAUUGAAAUUCCCUCCUUCCUACAUUCUCAUUUCCAAAUACAAUACAAACAGCAUGCUCUAAUCAAUCAAAUGUACAUUCACCAUAUUUUUUAUACAAGGCCUUGUAUCUCCGAUAUAUAAGCUGCUGACAAUCAUUUAUCUUUCCUCUUGCUUUGUAGUCUCCCUAAAUGAAAGAACAGUUAGAGAAAGUUGUAGUUUCAGCAGUGAUUUUUACAUUUAGAAUUUGUUUAAUGACAAAUUACUGAUGUUAAUAACAGCCAGACCAAAAGAUUGUCAAGUUUAUCCAGCACAGCAACACCUGACUGUGAUUUUAUUGCUUUGAGAUUUGGUCUAAAUCAGAAUAAACUGCUUUGAUCAGCUCUGCAAA